UGGGAAGGAAGGAAGGAAGUGCUG
Molecule: non-coding RNA, 24 nt
Filed under: Cricetulus griseus (Chinese hamster)
Lineage: Eukaryota; Metazoa; Chordata; Mammalia; Rodentia; Cricetidae
Source: RNAcentral